RNAcentral lists this ribosomal RNA (468 nucleotides) under uncultured bacterium. RNAcentral describes it as "partial 16S ribosomal RNA". It matches the Rfam family "Bacterial small subunit ribosomal RNA", at positions 28 to 507 of the family's 1533-position model. The record is from RNAcentral.
GACGAACGCUGGCGGCGUGCUUAACACAUGCAAGUCGAACGGAAAGGCCCUGCGUUUGUGGGGUGCUCGAGUGGCGAACGGGUGAGUAACACGUGAGUAACCUGCCCUUGACUUUGGGAUAACUUCAGGAAACUGGGGCUAAUACCGGAUAGGAGCUCCUGCUGCAUGGGGGGGGUUGGAAAGAUUCGGCGGUUGGGGAUGGACUCGCGGCUUAUCAGCUUGUUGGUGGGGUAGUGGCUGACCACGGCUUUGACGGGUAGCCGGCCUUGGAGGGUGACCGGCCACCUUGGGCCUGCGGUACGGCCCAGACUGCUACGGGAGGCAGCGGUGGGGAGUAUUGCGCAAUAGGCGGACGCCUGAUGCAACGGCGCCGCGUGCGGGAUGCCGGCCUUCGGGUUGUAAACCGCUUUCGCCUGUGACGAAGCGUGAGUGACGGUAAUGGGUAAGAAAGCCCCGGCUAACUACGUG